GAAAAUGUCCUACAAUGUGCAUUUUAUUCCAUAUCAUUAUACAAUGUUUACAUAUAGUUAAAACUCUCAAGAAAACGUCCUUUACCAGUUGUAUGUGGUGUCUAAAUCUUUAACAUGAAGGACUGAAAAGAGUGGAAAUCCACACUGAUUGUUAUCCUACAGAUUGUCAUGAGCUGCACGUGUGCCAAUCAGAAAGGAAUGGAAGUCUCGGAAGAGCAGCGUGGCUUACAGACCCUUGGCUUUAGUGAAUUCAGGCAUGCGGGAUCCAUAGUCUCAUCUUGUAGUAAAACUCAAGACAAAAUAAAUUAGUGUUGGACAGAGUUCUACAUUGUACAAUGUUGAACAAAAGACCACAGGGGGACCUUUUGUUCAAAGUAGCACCAAUCCACACCUGAUUGUGUUUCCAACAUUAACCUUCCUGUUGACUCUAUCAUUGGCACUUUGAAUGGAACUUCUUCUGCUUUAGUGAGGAUUCCUACGCUGACUAAGCACACUGUGUUGCUAAACUCUCUACAAAGUGUGGCAGCAUCAACCCGGGAAAUGGCACAUUUGAACCAGGAUCGCCCUGACAUGGGCUUGCCUUUUUGUAUGUGUUUUCCCCACCCCCUGACCUAGCUGGUAUCUUGUGGAUGUUUCUGUGACAGUGGUAAAAGUAAAUAAAUUGCAUUUAAGGGGUAAGCAGGUGUUUAAAAACAAAACAAAACAAAACGAAAGAAUGUGGUCGCAGCUAAGGAGGUUUUCACAUGUUGUUUAACUCCAGUAAAGUCUGAUCCAGCAUCUGAUGCAUACUAAGGUUUUCUUCUUUGUCAUCAAUGCUUUUCUCCAAUUUAGUUACUGACCUCUCCGCAAACUCAGCCCGAGUCUCAGCCUGUAAUGAUUUAUUUGAGUUAAAGUUGGGAAGUUUUAUGUUUCCUGUAGCUACAAACAUAGGGAAAACUAGAGGAUGAAAAUGAAGCACAUCACCUAUAAAAUGGAUCAGAAACUACUUGUCAGUUUCAGUCACCUCUGUGAGAAAUGGCAGUUAGCACAGUACAUAAACUCCAAGGCGACCUUUGAAUAUUCCUGACUUGGAUCAUUGGAACUUUAAAAUGAAAAGGCCCUGACCGGUUCCAUGAAAACAAACUCAUUUAAAAUCCAGUUGGCUUCAUCCACAACUCUCAUAUUACCUCCUUCAGCUUGUCGGAAAGGACCUUGAUCUCUUCCUCAUAUCUGUCUUCCUUCUGCGAGUACUCUCAGCCCGCUCCUCUGCACGUUCCAGGUCGCUCUCAAUGAUGACCAGCUUACGGGCCACCUGCAGCAGGAAGACACAACACACACACCAUGGGUCUUGCAAGCUUUGUGUAACAGAAGGGCAUGGGGGUAGAGAUCAGAUCCCAUCAGGCCCUAAGGGUUUUGUCUACAAACAAUAUGAUCCUCUUUCUGGUAGACCAGAGAGAAGCAACUCUCUAUUAGGAGUGCCAGCAGAGAGGAGAUCAGAGGCUUCUGCUUUGACUCAGAAUGGUUAGCUGUGAUUGGGCAGUCUCAAUUGGAAGUCUGACCUAGGUGAACCGGCAGCCAGACCAAAAUGUGGAAGGAGGGAUAAAAUACACAUUCACAAUCUCAAAAACAGCAGUAGGAUGAGACAUGUACUAAAAAGGUGGGGGCUGCCAGGAAAACAAAGUAAACCUAAGAACUCCAUCAAUUUGAUGGCUGAUCUGUGCAUCUACCUCCUUACUGCAGUGGAAGAAUACAAGAGACACUAACGUGAGACAAGUUGGUGAGAUAACUGACAAAAUCAAAUUUGUAUUUAGUGGAAGAACCAGAGAGAGGAAGGGAGCCUCUGAAGCAGAUCAAAACUUGUGAGCAUAGUGUAAUCUGAAGGUAAUAAUGGUAAUAAAAAGGAGGGGCAAUGCUGUUUCAGGAUAGCCACGAUGUGAUCCAAUAAGGAAAAAACAGAAACCUUAAUAAUCAAGUUGCCUCUUAUCACAGGAGGCUGUUUUCAUGGGGACACGACCAGGAGCAAAUUCUGCUGAAAACCUGCGUUGAUAAUAGUUUUCUACCACCCUUGAGGAGAGAGGCCUCUGUGAAUCCACUGAGAAACUGUCUGUGGUCUCUAAGCUGCCCAAUCUGGAUGUGCCAGGUCACUCUGGGAAGAAAUGACUUGCACCAUGACAGCAUGAGAGCCUCCUUUCACAAGACACAGGGCCCAACUCUCCCUUCCGGCCAAAGAUCUUUUGUCCGGGUCUUUGUGGCUGGGGGAGAGGAGUUUUGGUCCUUCUUCGCAGUGCUACUGAUUGGCUUCCUGAUAAAGCCUGGGAUCCCCUAGCAGGAUUAAAAUUAGAACCGUUUUCUGGACACAAAGGAACUCUGCUUCUCAAAACCACCCAUUUCUGCCAACAAAGCAGAUGGCCUCACUCGGGAAUCAAGACUGUACAUUGCUCCCUGGCUUCCUGAAGGCCACUGCUGGGUGUCCACAAGGCUUUGGGCCCCAGGAUCUGACCUCUUCAUAUUUGCGGUCGGCAUCUUCAGCAAUGUGCUUGGCCUCUUUCAGUUGGAUCUCCUGAAUUUCCAUUUUUUCUUCAUCUUUUUGGGCUCGACUCUCAAUGACUUUCAU
Molecule: long non-coding RNA, 2593 nt
Filed under: Homo sapiens (human)
Lineage: Eukaryota; Metazoa; Chordata; Mammalia; Primates; Hominidae
Description: HSALNT0381708
Source: RNAcentral